AAACCAUGGUGGGGACACUUCAAAAUCAGGUCCUUAAAUCUUUCCCAUCUCUCAUAAAAAUUUUCAUUAUCUUCUUGAUAAGAACCAGAAAUCUCUCUCCUCAAAGCAU
Juglans microcarpa x Juglans regia is the source of this 109-nucleotide small nucleolar RNA. Lineage: Eukaryota; Viridiplantae; Streptophyta; Magnoliopsida; Fagales; Juglandaceae. The record is from RefSeq and is a predicted model, not a curated record.